Molecule: ribosomal RNA, 247 nt
Filed under: uncultured bacterium
Lineage: Bacteria
Description: partial 16S ribosomal RNA
Rfam family: Bacterial small subunit ribosomal RNA
Source: RNAcentral
AUACGAAGGGGGCAAGCGUUGUUCGGAAUUACUGGGCGUAAAGGGCGCGUAGGCGGCCGAUCAAGUCAGGCGUGAAAUUCCCGGGCUCAACCUGGGGGCUGCGCUUGAUACUGAUUGGCUUGAAUGCGGGAGAGGAUAGUGGAAUUCCCAGUGUAGAGGUGAAAUUCGUAGAUAUUGGGAAGAACACCAGUGGCGAAGGCGGCUAUCUGGCCCGUGAUUGACGCUGAGGCGCGAAAGCGUGGGGAGC